RNAcentral lists this ribosomal RNA (373 nucleotides) under uncultured bacterium. Its description in RNAcentral is "bacterial SSU rRNA". It matches the Rfam family "Bacterial small subunit ribosomal RNA", at positions 28 to 404 of the family's 1533-position model. The record is from RNAcentral.
GACGAACGCUGGCGGCGUGCUUAACACAUGCAAGUCGAGCGGUAAGGCCCUUUCGGGGGUACACGAGCGGCGAACGGGUGAGUAACACGUGGGUGACCUGCCCUCAGCUCUGGGAUAAGCCUGGGAAACCGGGUCUAAUACUGGAUAUGACUCCAUGACGCAUGUUGUGGGGUGGAAAGCCUUGUGCGGCUGAGGAUGGGCCCGCGGCCUAUCAGCUUGUUGGUGGGGUGAGGCCUACCAAGGCGACGACGGUAGCCGGCCUGAGAGGGCGACCGGCCACACUGGGACUGAGACACGGCCCAGACUCCUACGGGAGGCAGCAGUGGGGAAUCUUGCGCAAUGGGCGAAAGCCUGACGCAGCGACGCCGCGUGA